Molecule: transfer RNA, 78 nt
Filed under: Bacillota bacterium
Lineage: Bacteria; Bacillati; Bacillota
Also listed under: 2 other names
Description: tRNA-Arg
Rfam family: tRNA
About the family: Transfer RNA (tRNA) molecules are approximately 80 nucleotides in length. Their secondary structure includes four short double-helical elements and three loops (D, anti-codon, and T loops).
Source: RNAcentral
GGUGCAUUAGCUCAGUUUGGAUAGAGCAUUCGCCUCCUAAGCGGAAGGUCCCCUGUUCGAGUCAGGGAUGCAUCGCCA